GGCCGCAUAACUCAGUGGUAGAGUGCGUGAUUCCAGCUUUGGAACUUCCACGAAGUCAUCCGUUCGACUCGGGUUGUGGUCA
Molecule: transfer RNA, 82 nt
Filed under: Talaromyces islandicus
Lineage: Eukaryota; Fungi; Ascomycota; Eurotiomycetes; Eurotiales; Trichocomaceae
Description: Penicillium islandicum tRNA
Rfam family: tRNA
About the family: Transfer RNA (tRNA) molecules are approximately 80 nucleotides in length. Their secondary structure includes four short double-helical elements and three loops (D, anti-codon, and T loops).
Source: Rfam by way of RNAcentral